UAGAGUUUGAUCCUGGCUCAGAUUGAACGCUGGCGGCAUGCCUUACACAUGCAAGUCGAACGGUAACGCGGGGGCAACCCUGGCGACGAGUGGCGAACGGGUGAGUAAUGCAUCGGAACGUGCCCAGUAGUGGGGGAUAGCUCGGCGAAAGCCGGAUUAAUACCGCAUACGACCUACGGGUGAAAGCGGGGGACCGCAAGGCCUCGCGCUAUUGGAGCGGCCGAUGUCGGAUUAGCUUGUUGGUGGGGUAAAAGCCUACCAAGGCGACGAUCCGUAGCUGGUCUGAGAGGACGACCAGCCACACUGGGACUGAGACACGGCCCAGACUCCUACGGGAGGCAGCAGUGGGGAAUUUUGGACAAUGGGCGAAAGCCUGAUCCAGCAAUGCCGCGUGUGUGAAGAAGGCCUUCGGGUUGUAAAGCACUUUUGGCGAGAACGAGAAAGCGCCUGCUAAUACCGGGUGCGAAUGACGGUACUCGCAGAAUAAGCACCGGCUAACUACGUGCCAGCAGCCGCGGUAAGACGUAGGGUGCAAGCGUUAAUCGGAAUUACUGGGCGUAAAGCGUGCGCAGGCGGUUUUGUAAGACAGAUGUGAAAUCCCUGGGCUCAACCUGGGAACUGCAUUUGUGACUGCAAGGCUAGAGUGCGUCAGAGGGAGGUGGAAUUCCGCGUGUAGCAGUGAAAUGCGUAGAGAUGCGGAGGAACACUCGAUGGCGAAGGCAGUCUCCUGGGAUGACACUAACGCUCAUGCACGAAAGCGUGGGGAGCAAACAGGAUUAGAUACUCUGGUAGUCCACGCUCUAAACGGUGUCAACUAGUUGUCGGGGAUUCGUUUUCUUUGGUAACGCAGCUAACGCGUGAAGUUGAUCGCCUGGGGAGUACGGGCGCAAGGUUAAAACUCAAAGGAAUUG
This 911-nucleotide ribosomal RNA is filed under the name uncultured bacterium. Its description in RNAcentral is "bacterial SSU rRNA". It matches the Rfam family "Bacterial small subunit ribosomal RNA", at positions 1 to 912 of the family's 1533-position model. The record is from RNAcentral.